GUGACGAGCGGCGGACGGGUGAGUAAUGUCUGGGAAACUGCCUGAUGGAGGGGGAUAACUACUGGAAACGGUAGCUAAUACCGCAUAAUGUCGCAAGACCAAAGUGGGGGACCUUCGGGCCUCAUGCCAUCAGAUGUGCCCAGAUGGGAUUAGCUAGUAGGUGGGGUAACGGCUCACCUAGGCGACGAUCCCUAGCUGGUCUGAGAGGAUGACCAGCCACACUGGAACUGAGACACGGUCCAGACUCCUACGGGAGGCAGCAGUGGGGAAUAUUGCACAAUGGGCGCAAGCCUGAUGCAGCCAUGCCGCGUGUGUGAAGAAGGCCUUCGGGUUGUAAAGCACUUUCAGCGGGGAGGAAGGCGUUGAGGUUAAUAACCUUGUCGAUUGACGUUACCCGCAGAAGAAGCACCGGCUAACUCCGUGCCAGCAGCCGCGGUAAUACGGAGGGUGCAAGCGUUAAUCGGAAUUACUGGGCGUAAAGCGCACGCAGGCGGUCUGUCAAGUCGGAUGUGAAAUCCCCG
This 521-nucleotide ribosomal RNA is filed under the name Bacillus safensis. RNAcentral describes it as "bacterial SSU rRNA". It matches the Rfam family "Bacterial small subunit ribosomal RNA", at positions 88 to 605 of the family's 1533-position model. The record is from RNAcentral. Lineage: Bacteria; Bacillati; Bacillota; Bacilli; Caryophanales; Bacillaceae.